CCUCUUGUUCGGGAUAACUGCUGGAAACGGCAGCUAAUACCGGAUAAGCUCCCCCAAUUGUAUGGGGAGGAAAGGAGGCCUCUUCAUGAAAGCUUCCGCGAGGGGAUGAGUCCGCGUCCCAUUAGCUAGUUGGUGAGGUAACGGCCCACCAAGGCAACGAUGGGUAGCCGGUCUAAGAGGAUGACCGGCCACACUGGAACUGAAACACGGUCCAGACUCCUACGGGAGGCAGCAGUGGGGAAUAUUGCGCAAUGGACGAAAGUCUGACGCAGCGACGCCGCGUGAGGGAUGAAGGUUUUCGGAUCGUAAACCUCUGUCAGGAGGGAAGAAAGCGCAUGGCGCCAAUCAGCCAUGCGUUGACGGUACCUCCAAAGGAAGCGCCGGCUAACUCCGUGCCAGCAGCCGCGGUAAUACGGAGGGCGCGAGCGUUAAUCGGAAUUACUGGGCGUAAAGCGCGCGUAGGCUGUUGUGUAAGUUGGGGGUGAAAUCCCACGGCUCAACCGUGGAACAGCCCUUGAUACUGCGCGACUUGAAUCCGGGAGAGGGUGGCGGAAUUCCAGGUGUAGGAGUGAAAUCCGUAGAUAUCUGGAGGAACAUCAGUGGCGAAGGCGGCCACCUGGACCGGUAUUGACGCUGAGGCGCGAAAGCGUGGGGAGCAAACAGGAUUAGAUACCCUGGUAGUCCACGCUGUAAACGAUGGAUGCUGGAUGUCGGGGAGUAAUCCCCGG
RNAcentral lists this ribosomal RNA (728 nucleotides) under uncultured bacterium. RNAcentral describes it as "bacterial SSU rRNA". It matches the Rfam family "Bacterial small subunit ribosomal RNA", at positions 130 to 843 of the family's 1533-position model. The record is from RNAcentral.